Molecule: long non-coding RNA, 1085 nt
Filed under: Homo sapiens (human)
Lineage: Eukaryota; Metazoa; Chordata; Mammalia; Primates; Hominidae
Description: non-protein coding LINC02180:19
Source: RNAcentral
CUACUAGAUAUUUAAUGUAAUCACCAUGAUAAUGGCUAAGAUUUAUUAAGCAUCUGCUAUGUGCUUUAUGGUGCUAAGAACUUCUCAUGUAUUUACUCAUUGAAUCUUCACAAAAACCUUAUGAACAUCAGAGCUGAUGAAUACUCAGUCAGAAGAAAUGCAGGCCUGCAGGUUUGUCCACAAAGUGUUCCCAUCAACCGUGACGGCUCUCUCAAAUGUUACUGUCUAUAUGAAUCCACCUUGGGAUAUUAGUAAAAUGAGUUUCUGAUACAGAAGAUCUAGAAAGCGCCUGAAAUGCUGAUAUUCUGUCUCCCAGGUGGAGGAGUUCAGCUAUUACCUUGACUUUGCCGAAGUCCUAGGCACUCCCAUGCCCUCAGAGUCUCAUUUUGAAUCCAGGCACUUAGGGAUGCUAUUUUUCCACAUCAAACAGCUUCCUCCCAGCCAAAGAAUUCUGGUGACAGUAGUGAAGAUAAUUUUCACUCCUGCUUACAGAAUGACAAAGCAAAAGCAAAGAGGAGAAGAAUGAAGUAAAGACAACCAAAGGAAAAGACUGAUGGCUCCUUAAGAAUGAUCUUGAUAAAGGAAUGGUGGCUGAGGGGUCCAUCUCCUAAACCACCCACCUUACUGACUCCCUAGAGCAAUGCCAUACAGAAAGCUGCACCUUGAGGGGAAGACACAAGAAUCCUGGAGUGGAAAAAAAUUGGGUAAUGAUGACAGCCUUCGAGGUCUUGAGAGUAAAGCAGAAGCAAAAAAAAAGUGUUAUUUUUAUCUUUUGAAGAUGGUUCCCUCUUAAGACUUUUGCGAAUGAUUAAGAUUUCAAUUAUGUUCCAGGAAAAAAAUAAGAUUUUUGCUUGACAAAAAAAAUUUUUGUCUAGAACAGGUGGGAAGGAAGAGAUAGUUUAGCCACAUCCAAGAGACCUGUAAAUUGGGUACAGUGAAGUGAAUGGUGUACCAGUCAUAAAAGAAUGUUAACUGGAGAAGUCUCUGCUGUCUUCCUGUAACUGAGGGGGGUGUAACCAUCCUUGUGGAAGCGUCCACUUUUAUUGAAGAUUGGCUAAAUAAAUCUGUGCCUACUGAAACUCAAG